This 67-nucleotide transfer RNA is filed under the name Leiodidae sp. BMNH 1274324. RNAcentral describes it as "tRNA-Ser". Lineage: Eukaryota; Metazoa; Arthropoda; Insecta; Coleoptera; Leiodidae. The record is from RNAcentral.
GAAUUAUGUUAAUCAAAAUAAAGCUUCUAACUUAUAUUUUUAAUAGUGUAAUUCUAUUAAUAAUUCU